This 867-nucleotide long non-coding RNA is filed under the name Taeniopygia guttata (zebra finch). RNAcentral's name for it is "lncRNA (ENSTGUG00000025945.1)". The record is from RNAcentral. Lineage: Eukaryota; Metazoa; Chordata; Aves; Passeriformes; Estrildidae.
UUUUCCCUGAGUUUUCAGUAUCCAGCUGUAUGUUGAUUGUAUCUAGAUCAGAUUUUGUAACAUUAAAUUGAAUAGAUUCCAUAAUCAUUAAUAUGUUAGAUUUUGUUUAUCAGAAAUUUUUAGUUUUAUUCUUCCCUCUGCACCCCGAGACAGACUUUGGAGAGGAGUUGGGGUCAAGAGGUUUCAGGAUAUUGAGGUUGCCUCUUCUCUUUCUGUAGAUAUUUAUGGUGAAUUUUGCAUUUUUUUCCCCCACAGCGUUCCAGGAAAUAUGUGAAGUUUGUCUGCACAUUUCAUCUUCUGAAAUGCCCAUUAGUCAGAUGAACUGCUUUGUGCAUAAGCGAGGGGAAGUUCAAAUAAAGGUAUAUUUGGGAAAAAAAGGGAAGACUUCUGCUUCUGACAUAUAUAUCUUUCCAAGUCUUUCUGUGUGUGAAUGAUGGGACAUUGAAGAAGAACAUGAUUGUGGGUAAAUAAGCUCAAAACAUCAUGGAAGCUGUGACCAGGUACUGUUUGCUUUUACCUCUGUUUAAUUUCUACAAAAGUGUUCUGACAGCAAACCUUUUAUGAGCUUGGGGUGUGAGCAGAAAAAAUGGGUAAGUCUUGUACUGCUUGCCUAUUAAUUAUUGGCCACAAAUAUACUGAGAGUGUUCUUAUAAUGGAAUUUCAAAAUGAAUCUAGAACUUUAUUCCUCCCGCUGUAACUCCUUUCUAGGAUGGUCUGAAGAGGAUUUUUGGUUUUUUCUUUUGUUUCUUUCUUAUUGUUAGUCACAGUCACUUUGGUAUAUAGAUGUGUGCUAAUUAUCCUCUAUCAGUCCAUUUAAAUAAUUUACUGUGUAAGAGUCUCAAAGGACUCUCUGGGUGGCAGGUUUGA